RNAcentral lists this long non-coding RNA (270 nucleotides) under Lathyrus oleraceus (garden pea). RNAcentral describes it as "Pisum sativum (pea) long non-coding RNA (PSAT_LNC018848)". The record is from RNAcentral. Lineage: Eukaryota; Viridiplantae; Streptophyta; Magnoliopsida; Fabales; Fabaceae.
AACAUCUUUUGUACAAAAAUACAUAUGCACACAAAAAGGGCUCCCUAGGAGUACCUAGGACACUUUGGGUGCUAACACCUUCCCUCUGUGUAACCAACCCCCUUACCUGUAAUCUCUGGCAUUUUAUUAGUUUUGAUUUACACAAAAAGGGCUCCCUAGGAGUACCUAGGACACUUUGGGUGCUAACACCUUCCCUCUGUGUAACCAACCCCCUUACCUGUAAUCUCUGGCAUUUUAUUAGUUUUGAUUUGAAAACUUCUUAUCUUUUUG